Molecule: ribosomal RNA, 818 nt
Filed under: Arthrobacter sp.
Lineage: Bacteria; Bacillati; Actinomycetota; Actinomycetes; Micrococcales; Micrococcaceae
Description: bacterial SSU rRNA
Rfam family: Bacterial small subunit ribosomal RNA
Source: RNAcentral
CUCAACUCCGGAUCUGCGGUGGGUACGGGCAGACUAGAGUGAUGUAGGGGAGACUGGAAUUCCUGGUGUAGCGGUGAAAUGCGCAGAUAUCAGGAGGAACACCGAUGGCGAAGGCAGGUCUCUGGGCAUUAACUGACGCUGAGGAGCGAAAGCAUGGGGAGCGAACAGGAUUAGAUACCCUGGUAGUCCAUGCCGUAAACGUUGGGCACUAGGUGUGGGGGACAUUCCACGUUUUCCGCGCCGUAGCUAACGCAUUAAGUGCCCCGCCUGGGGAGUACGGCCGCAAGGCUAAAACUCAAAGGAAUUGACGGGGGCCCGCACAAGCGGCGGAGCAUGCGGAUUAAUUCGAUGCAACGCGAAGAACCUUACCAAGGCUUGACAUGGACCGGAUCGCCGCAGAAAUGUGGUUUCCCCUUUGGGGCCGGUUCACAGGUGGUGCAUGGUUGUCGUCAGCUCGUGUCGUGAGAUGUUGGGUUAAGUCCCGCAACGAGCGCAACCCUCGUUCUAUGUUGCCAGCGCGUUAUGGCGGGGACUCAUAGGAGACUGCCGGGGUCAACUCGGAGGAAGGUGGGGACGACGUCAAAUCAUCAUGCCCCUUAUGUCUUGGGCUUCACGCAUGCUACAAUGGCCGGUACAAAGGGUUGCGAUACUGUGAGGUGGAGCUAAUCCCAAAAAGCCGGUCUCAGUUCGGAUUGGGGUCUGCAACUCGACCCCAUGAAGUCGGAGUCGCUAGUAAUCGCAGAUCAGCAACGCUGCGGUGAAUACGUUCCCGGGCCUUGUACACACCGCCCGUCAAGUCACGAAAGUUGGUAACACCC